Molecule: ribosomal RNA, 431 nt
Filed under: uncultured bacterium
Lineage: Bacteria
Description: partial 16S ribosomal RNA
Rfam family: Bacterial small subunit ribosomal RNA
Source: RNAcentral
AACGAACGCUGGCGGCAGGCUUAACACAUGCAAGUCGAGCGCCCCGCAAGGGGAGCGGCAGUCGGGUGAGUAACGCGUGGGAACGUACCCUUAUCUUCGGGAUAGCUUCGGGAAACUGGAAUUAAUACCGAAUGUGCCCUUUGGGGGAAAGAUUUAACGGAUAAGGAUCGGCCCGCGUUGGCUUAGCUAGUUGGUGGGGUAAAGGCCUACCAAGGCGACGAUCCAUAGCUGGGCUGAGAGGAUGAUCAGCCACAUUGGGACUGGGACACGGCCCAAACUCCUACGGGAGGCAGCAGUGGGGAAUAUUGGACAAUGGGCGCAAGCCUGAUCCAGCCAUGCCGCGUGAGUGAUGAAGGCCUUAGGGUUGUAAAGCUCUUUCACCGGAGAAGAUAAUGACGGUAUCCGGAGAAGAAGCCCCGGCUAACUUCGUG